Molecule: long non-coding RNA, 2526 nt
Filed under: Sus scrofa (pig)
Lineage: Eukaryota; Metazoa; Chordata; Mammalia; Artiodactyla; Suidae
Description: lncRNA (ENSSSCG00025073167.1)
Source: RNAcentral
AAAAAAAAAAAAAAUUCUCUUCUGGACAUGAGUUUCUGGGAAGCUGGGAUUAUUCUAAAUCUUCAUCUUGGUGCUAGUGAUAGGAGAGUGUUUGUCACAAUUCAUCAAAAACAUGUUUAUGAUACGAGCCCUUUCUGUUUGCUUCUUAAAGGUCAAUGAAGAGUUUAAAAACAAGGAUCCUCCCUUCCUUCAGUGACUUGACCUUGCAAUCUCAUAGCCAAGAAAAGCACACAAUGGCUUAUGGAAACACAUUUUAAAAAUACUAACAUAUGCAGAAAUGACUAUUUAGUCAAAUAGAAAUGACUAUUUGGCAAGCAGGUGUGCUAAGAAUUUAAGGAAUUCAAGCACCCUUUGUAUAAUGUUACAAUCUAAAUAAAUUUACUUAAUAUGUGACAAAAUGCAGUGGAGACAAAAUUCUUGCUAACCUGCACAAGGAUGUUGCUCAUUUUUUCAACCAAUCAUACUUGGAGGAAGACUUGAAAAAACUCAGUGACACAAAAUACACCUUUUGAAAAUAAUAAUUCACAUUUUUUUCUUGUUACUGAGCUCUAAUUGAUUGUAAUGUCAUAUUAGUUUCAGGCAUAAGCACAGUAAUUCAGUUACACACAUAUCUUUCCAGAUUCUUUUCCCUUGUAGGUUUUUUUCCCCAUUUUUCUAAAGUUUCAUUGAGGUAUAUUGAUUUACAGUGUUGUGAUAAUUUUUGCUGUACAACAAAGUGACCCAGUCAUAUAUGUACACAUCUCCACUCUCUCUGAUUCUUCUCCCACAUGGAUGAUCACAGAAUAUUGGGUAGAGUUGUCUGUGCUCUACGGCAGAUCCCCGUUGGCCAGUCAUUCCACGUACCUCUGUGUGGAUAUGCCAGACCCCCAGUCCAUCCCUCCCCCACCACCUGUCCCUUUUCCCUUAUAGGUUAUUAAAAAAAUUCUGCAUAUAGUUCCCUGUGCUGUACAAUAGAUCCUUACUGGUUAUUUGUUUUAUGCGUUAAUCCCAACCUGCUAAUUUAUCCCUCCCCCUUUCCCCUUUGGUGACCAUAAGUUGGUUGUCUGAGUCUCCUGUUUUAUAAAUGAGUUCCUUUUUUUUUUUUAAGAUUUCACAUAUAACUGAUAUCAUAUGAUAUUUGUCUGGCUUAGUAUGAUCAUCUCUAAGUCCAUCCAUGUUGCUGCAAAUGACAUUAUUUCAUUUUUUGGACAUACAGGUUGCCUUACGGCAAUGAACACUGAGGUGCAUGUGUAGAUUAGAGUUUUUGUCGGAUAUCUGCCUAGGAGUGGGACUGCAGGCUCAUGUGGUAGUUCUAUUUUUAGUUGUUUAAGGAACUUCCACACUGUUCUGCACAAUUUACAUUUCCACCAGGAGUGUAGGAGAGUUCCCUUUUCUCCACACCCUCUCCAGCAUUAAUUUGUAGACUUUUCAAUGAUGAUGGUUCUGACUGGAGUGAGGUGAUACCCCAUUAUAGUUUUGAUUUGCAUUUCUCUAAUCAUUAGAGAUGUUGAGCAUCUUUUCAUGUGGUUUUUGGCCAUCUCUCUGUAUGUCUUCUUGGGAGAAAUGUCUCUCUCAGUCUUUUGCCUAUUUUUUGAUUGGGCUGUUUGUUUUUGGCCGUACCUACGGCACAUGGAAGCUCCCAGGCCAAAGUUCAAAUCCAAGCUGCAUCUUUGACUUAGGUCACGGCUACAGCAAUGCCCAAUCCUUAACCCACUGCUCUGGGCCCAAGAUGGAACAGGCAGCACCACAGAGACAAGCCAGAUCAUUAACCCACUGGACUCCUGUGGGAACUCCUGUUUUUUUUUGAAUAUCGAGCUGCAUGAGUAGUUGAUAUAUUUUUGGUGAUUACUCCCUCAUCAGUCACUUCAUUUGCAGGUAUUUUCUUCCAUUCCGAUACCUGCUGUGGGUCAUCUUUUCGUUUUGUUUAUGGUGUCCUUUGCUGUGCAGAAAGUUAAGUUUACUUGGGUCCCAUUUGGUUUUGGUUUUAUUUUCAUUACUCUAGGAGGUGGCUCUGAAAAGGUACUGCUUUGGUUUAUGUCUGAGAGUGUUCUGCCUAUGUUUUCCUCUAAGAGGUUUAUAGUUUUCUGGCCUGCAUUUAGGUCUUUGAUCCAUUUUGAGUUUAUUUUUCAGCCUGCUGUUAGUGUCCUAAUUUCAUUCUUUUACCUGUAGCUGUCCAGUUUUCCCAGCAUCAGUAACUGAAGAGGCUGUCUUUACUGUAUGUUCUUGCCUCCUUUGUCAUAGAUUAAUUGACCAUAGGUGCGUGGGUUAAUGUCUGGGCUUUCUGUGCUGUUGCACUGAUCUAUAUUUCUGUUUUUGUGUCAGUGCCAUACUGUUGUGAAUAACUGUAGCUUUGUAGUAUAGUCUGAAGUCAUGGAGUCUGAUUACUCCAGUUCCGUUUUUUUCAGCAUUGCUUUGGCUAUUUGGGGUCUUUGGUGUUUCCAUACAAAUUAAAAAAUAUCUUGUUCUACCUCUGUGAAGAAUGUCCUUGAUCAUUUGAUAGGGAUCACACUGAAUCUGUAGAUUGCCUUGGGUAGUAGAGCCAUUUUG